Molecule: ribosomal RNA, 465 nt
Filed under: Vreelandella stevensii
Lineage: Bacteria; Pseudomonadati; Pseudomonadota; Gammaproteobacteria; Oceanospirillales; Halomonadaceae
Description: partial 16S ribosomal RNA
Rfam family: Bacterial small subunit ribosomal RNA
Source: RNAcentral
CCUACGGGCGGCUGCAGUGGGGAAUAUUGGACAAGGGGGGCAACCCUGAUCCAGCCAUGCCGCGGGUGUGAAGAAGGCCCUCGGGUUGUAAAGCACUUUCAGUGAGGAAGAACGCCUGGUGGUUAAUACCCAUCAGGAAAGACAUCACUCACAGAAGAAGCACCGGCUAACUCCGUGCCAGCAGCCGCGGUAAUACGGAGGGUGCGAGCGUUAAUCGGAAUUACUGGGCGUAGAGCGCGCGUAGGUGGCUUGAUAAGCCGGUUGUGAAAGCCCCGGGCUCAACCUGGGAACGGCAUCCGGAACUGUCAAGCUAGAGUGCAGGAGAGGAAGGUAGAAUUCCCGGUGUAGCGGUGAAAUGCGUAGAGAUCGGGAGGAAUACCAGUGGCGAAGGCGGCCUUCUGGACUGACACUGACACUGAGGUGCGAAAGCGUGGGUAGCAAACAGGAUUAGAUACCCGAGUAGUC